AGGGGUAUAGUUUAAUGGCAAAACGAAGGUCUCCAAAACCUUUGAUGCGGGUUCGAUUCCUGCUACCCCUGCCA
This 74-nucleotide transfer RNA is filed under the name Alkalicoccus saliphilus. Its description in RNAcentral is "tRNA-Trp". It matches the Rfam family "tRNA". From Rfam's summary of the family: Transfer RNA (tRNA) molecules are approximately 80 nucleotides in length. Their secondary structure includes four short double-helical elements and three loops (D, anti-codon, and T loops). Lineage: Bacteria; Bacillati; Bacillota; Bacilli; Caryophanales; Bacillaceae. The record is from RNAcentral. RNAcentral also lists the same sequence under 5 other names.